This 465-nucleotide ribosomal RNA is filed under the name Vreelandella stevensii. RNAcentral describes it as "partial 16S ribosomal RNA". It matches the Rfam family "Bacterial small subunit ribosomal RNA", at positions 338 to 795 of the family's 1533-position model. Lineage: Bacteria; Pseudomonadati; Pseudomonadota; Gammaproteobacteria; Oceanospirillales; Halomonadaceae. The record is from RNAcentral.
CCUACGGGUGGCAGCAGUGGGGAAUAUUGGACAAUGGGCGAAAGCCUGAUCCAGCCAUGCCGCGUGUGUGAAGAAGGCCUUCGGGUUGUAAAGCACUUUCAGUGGGGAAGAAAGCCUUGGGGCUAAUACCCUCGAGGAAGGACAUCACCCACAGAAGAAGCACCGGCUAACUCCGUGCCAGCAGCCGCGGUAAUACGGAGGGUGCGAGCGUUAAUCGGAAUUACUGGGCGUAAAGCGCGCGUAGGCGGUCUGAUAAGCCGGUUGUGAAAGCCCCGGGCUCAACCUGGGAACGGCAUCCGGAACUGUCAGGCUAGAGUGCAGGAGAGGAAGGUAGAAUUCCCGGUGUAGCGAUGAAAUGCGUAGAGAUCGGGAGGAAUACCAGUGGCGAAGGCGGCCUUCUGGACUGACACUGACGCUGAGGUGCGAAAGCGUGGGUAGCAAACAGGAUUAGAUACCCGAGUAGUC